RNAcentral lists this ribosomal RNA (497 nucleotides) under uncultured bacterium. Its description in RNAcentral is "partial 16S ribosomal RNA". It matches the Rfam family "Bacterial small subunit ribosomal RNA", at positions 28 to 507 of the family's 1533-position model. The record is from RNAcentral.
GAUGAACGCUGGCGGCGUGCCUAAUACAUGCAAGUCGAGCGAACGGACGAGAAGCUUGCUUCUCUGAUGUUAGCGGCGGACGGGUGAGUAACACGUGGAUAACCUACCUAUAAGACUGGGAUAACUUCGGGAAACCGGAGCUAAUACCGGAUAAUAUUUUGAACCGCAUGGUUCAAAAGUGAAAGACGGUCUUGCUGUCACUUAUAGAUGGAUCCGCGCUGCAUUAGCUAGUUGGUAAGGUAACGGCUUACCAAGGCAACGAUGCAUAGCCGACCUGGGAGGGUGAUCGGCCACACUGGAACUGAGACACGGUCCAGACUCCUACGGGAGGCAGCAGUAGGGAAUCUUCCGCAAUGGGCGAAAGCCUGACGGAGCAACGCCGCGUGAGUGAUGAAGGUCUUCGGAUCGUAAAACUCUGUUAUUAGGGAAGAACAUAUGUGUAAGUAACUGUGCACAUCUUGACGGUACCUAACCAGAAAGCCACGGCUAACUACGUG